RNAcentral lists this ribosomal RNA (693 nucleotides) under uncultured archaeon. RNAcentral's name for it is "bacterial SSU rRNA". It matches the Rfam family "Archaeal small subunit ribosomal RNA", at positions 29 to 730 of the family's 1478-position model. The record is from RNAcentral.
GCUAUCGGGGUUCGAUUAAGCCAUGCGAGUCGAGAGGUGCAAGACCUCGGCGCACUGCUCAGUAACACGUGGAUAACCUACCCUCAGGAGGGGGAUAACCCCGGGAAACUGGGGAUAAUACCCCAUAGAUCAGGGACGCUGGAAUGCCCCCUGAUUCAAAGGUCCGCCGCCUGAGGAUGGGUCUGCGGCCGAUUAGGUUGUUGUUGGGGUAACGGCCCAACAAGCCAUUGAUCGGUACGGGUUGUGAGAGCAAGAGCCCGGAGAUGGAUUCUGAGACACGAAUCCAGGCCCUACGGGGCGCAGCAGGCGCGAAAACUUUACAAUGCUGGCAACAGCGAUAAGGGAACCCCGAGUGCCCGUAAAUUCGGGCUGUCCGCCAGUGUAAAUAACUGGUGAAGAAAGGGCCGGGCAAGACCGGUGCCAGCCGCCGCGGUAAUACCGGCGGCUCGAGUGGUGGCCACUAUUACUGGGCUUAAAGCGUCCGUAGCUGGAUUGUUAAGUCUCUUGGGAAAUCCACCGGCUCAACCGAUGGGCGUUCAGGAGAAACUGGCAAUCUAGGGACCGGGAGAGGUGAGAGGUACUCCAGGGGUAGGAGUGAAAUCCUGUAAUCCUUGGGGGACCACCUGUGGCGAAGGCGUCUCACUAGAACGGCUCCGACAGUGAGGGACGAAAGCUGGGGGAGCAAACCGGAUU